AGAACGAACGCUGGCGGCAUGCCUAAUACAUGCAAGUCGAACGAAGGCUUCGGCCUUAGUGGCGCACGGGUGCGUAACGCGUGGGAAUCUGCCCCUUGGUUCGGAAUAACAGUUGGAAACGACUGCUAAUACCGGAUGAUGACGAAAGUCCAAAGAUUUAUCGCCAAGGGAUGAGCCCGCGUAGGAUUAGCUAGUUGGUGAGGUAAAGGCUCACCAAGGCGACGAUCCUUAGCUGGUCUGAGAGGAUGAUCAGCCACACUGGGACUGAGACACGGCCCAGACCUCCUACGGGAGCAG
This 297-nucleotide ribosomal RNA is filed under the name uncultured soil bacterium. RNAcentral's name for it is "partial 16S ribosomal RNA". It matches the Rfam family "Bacterial small subunit ribosomal RNA", at positions 26 to 351 of the family's 1533-position model. The record is from RNAcentral.